Leopardus geoffroyi (Geoffroy's cat) is the source of this 2540-nucleotide long non-coding RNA. RefSeq lists it as uncharacterized. The transcript is spliced from 5 exons. The record is from RefSeq and is a predicted model, not a curated record. NCBI's taxonomy places the organism in Eukaryota, Metazoa, Chordata, Mammalia, Carnivora, Felidae.
AGGAGCAGGAGCAGACAGACUGAAUGGAUUCCCGUUUUCAUUUAAGAAUUAAUGUAAAUGCACGAAUCAGUGCCAACAUCUAACCCUUACAACAUACUUGUACAGGUAUCCCUUAAUACACAAACUAAGAUGCGCACCUGUGUUCCCCUUCUUAAUUUCUACAAACAGCGGGUCAAGAAUAUCAGUUCUUUCUGGACACCAGUCAUGUGUAAGAGAAAACAGAGGUGAUAUGAUUUUGUGUAUUGAGGGAGUGUGAUGACUGUAUGUGGAUUGAUUCUUCCCUUCUUCCUCUGGUCUCUGCGUAUGAGGAUGCAAAAUACUUGUUCCUGUAUCUCGGCCCUCACUUUGAGAGUAAUUGCCGUUAAGUUUAGAUGAUUUGACUUAUCUACCUUGAGUUCAGAGUGAUCUUUAAACUUUUGGUAUGCCCUUUCCUUUUCCACAAAGUAUUUUGACAUCCUGCAAAGAUACAGAAGAUAUAUCAAGACAAGCUAAGAGCAGGAGACAAAAGGGCCAGAGGGACACGAAUAUAAAUGGAACCAGAAAUGAGGGUUAAACAAAACUAUGUCUCAUGGAGACCUACACUCUUGUAAAUGGAGUGCAAACACUGGCUGUAACCUUUCUCGGAUCCAGUAUAGAAGGGGAACACUGCUUGGACGACACCUUUUGCAGUAUUUCUAACAUAAAAUAAAUCAAAUCCAUUGUUUGUCGAUCUAAGCAACCCCCAUAGCGAAGCAGAAAGGGAUUUCUGAAAGUUUCUGUAAAGAAGAUGUUAUUCUUCGUCUCCUUCUUGCGGUGAUGUUUACUCUCAUUUCUUUUACUAUAGGACAAUGGCAGAACUCCAAGAUGAAAUGAGGUUAAGACAGAUCUAUGGCGAUGGGAGUGAUGGUUGGGUGUGAAGCGGGAGCGGAGGUUGUGAAUGACACUUUCAUAUAAACACAUGGACCUUUAACACAACUGCACACAUUUUCUUUCUUCAGUCAUUCUAGGAUGGGAACUGGCAGGCGUACUUCUCAUUUUCUUUUCUGUACCAAAUUAGAAUGUGCCCCUAGGACUAAAGGAAAUAGAGCUGGGGAGCCUGGUAGUUAAAAGCCAGUAAGAAUCAUUAUUUCUGCCUCACUGGUCAGGCAUAUUUUGGGCAAAUGAGUCAGCGCAGUGUGAGAGGGAUGUUUGGGCUAGACUUUAUCAGCAGUUACAUACAUUUUCCAGAGUUACUAAAAGCUGUCCAGGCUGGUUAUUUAGAGCUCUGGGGAAGAGCAGGGCAGAGGAGGUGAGGGAACAGAGUGUAUUUUGUGAUUGGGACAUCUCAGAUUGGGCAAGCUCUCUGUUCUAGCUCUCUCUGAAAUGCUCUCUUUAUGGGGUUUAUACUAUCACUGUAUAAAUUGCUCAAAUUGGCCAGAACCCCUGGGUUCUCAAGUCUGGAACAUCUGACAAGGAUUCCAGCCUGUCAAGCCAUUCUUCCAUAUCAUAUCGGUUUCUCGGCGCAUUUGUCAGAUGGGGGGAUCUAGCAUUUUGAAGACACACAAUUUAGCAGACAUUCAAAUUCGCUGAACAGAUGAAUUCAGAGGGGAGAUGGAGAUCUCAGAUGGAAGAGAUGUUCGAGGAAGAAACUGCAUGGAGGCCUGAAACGCAUGGUCCCCUCUACACACCUGAAGAGGAAGCCGUACAAGAGAUCCAAGAGUCAUGCUGGGACUGUGUAGAGAUUUUGGUAUUUCAGAAUUGCGGAUAAUGGAAUGCGGAUGUGAACAUCUCUAAAGAAAGAAAGACUCAAUCAUAGAGGGGAGAAUUGAACCAUGGAAGUGUAGAAAACGGAGAAGCGUGGAGAACAUGUGAGCAGUGACCAGUCAAGCACUACCCAGCAAGAGGCAGGAUUUACUAUAUUCUGAUUCCAUUGUCAAGGCCAGCGUUGUAAAAAGAAAGAAGUGCUGAGCUCUCUCAACUGAGAUCACUAAACAGUUGGGUCAUUUGAACAGUAUUUUUCUACUCUUGUACUCCCCAAGCCACUGGACAAUUAUCAAUCUUGGCAUAUAUAAAAUAUCUGCAGAAGAGAAUAAUCUUUUCACAACCUUGGGUUCCUACUUCUGUAAUAGGGCAAAGAGGCAAGGGUAGAGAGCAGUCUACACAACUUGGAAGGAUAGUGUCGUGUGGAGAGGGCAGACUUGAGAGACACUGUGCCCUUGAGUCAACGGAACAGACAUCUCCAGAUGACCCCAGAGAGAGGAAGCAGAGGUAAUAAAUACCUUGACUUCUUUCUUUUCUCUCCUUCCAUCUCUUGGUGGGCCACUAGACUAGCAGAACCCAAUCAGAUGCCAUGAAGCAAGGGAGCACAUUGAUGCGGUCCAUACAAGUCAGCCUGCCAGAGCAGAGAGUGCGUCUGGAUGGGUAAAUAGCAAAUAUUGUCACAUUAUGCUCUAGUAGCUGGCAAAUUUCCCAUCAGGGACUUUCACAUUCUGGGGAAUCUUUACUUAAAAGGUUCACUUGAAGGGCACCUGGGUGGCUCAGUGGGUUGAGUGUCCAACUCUUGAUUUCGGCUCAGGUCAUGA